This 300-nucleotide ribosomal RNA is filed under the name Triticum aestivum (bread wheat). Its description in RNAcentral is "partial small subunit ribosomal RNA". Lineage: Eukaryota; Viridiplantae; Streptophyta; Magnoliopsida; Poales; Poaceae. The record is from RNAcentral.
AUCGCCUGCCUUCCAACAGAAGGGUUCCACACAACAUCGAGGAGCACCACACGCGAUGCUCCAACGAGGGUGAUACCUUCUCCACACGCCUUGGUCGAUGCAAGCAUCACCUUGGCCUCGCUCUCCACAUCAUUGAAGGCCACCAUCAAGGCUUUGCGGGUUUUAGGGGAGACAUUUCCACUCAUAUACAUGAUCUCUUUGCCUUUAGUCCAGUUGAACUCUUUUCUCAGCUGUUGCAUGAUCAAGUCCAGUGGUUCAAGGAACUGGCUAAACACAAGCACUCGCUCUUUUAAAGCUUGA